GCGGAUGUAGCUCAGUGGUAGAGCAUCUCGUUGCCAACGAGACGGUCGGGCGUUCGAAUCGCCUCAUCCGCU
Molecule: transfer RNA, 72 nt
Filed under: Synechococcaceae cyanobacterium RM1_1_27
Lineage: Bacteria; Bacillati; Cyanobacteriota; Cyanophyceae; Synechococcales; Synechococcaceae
Also listed under: 2 other names
Description: tRNA-Gly
Rfam family: tRNA
About the family: Transfer RNA (tRNA) molecules are approximately 80 nucleotides in length. Their secondary structure includes four short double-helical elements and three loops (D, anti-codon, and T loops).
Source: RNAcentral